This 460-nucleotide ribosomal RNA is filed under the name uncultured bacterium. RNAcentral describes it as "partial 16S ribosomal RNA". It matches the Rfam family "Bacterial small subunit ribosomal RNA", at positions 338 to 795 of the family's 1533-position model. The record is from RNAcentral.
CCUACGGGGGGCAGCAGUGAGGAAUAUUGGUCAAUGGGCGCGAGCCUGAACCAGCCAAGUCGCGUGAGGGAUGACGGUUCUAUGGAUCGUAAACCUCUUUUAUAAGGGCAUAAAGUGUGGGACGUGUCCUAUUUUGUAUGUACCUUAUGAAUAAGGAUCGGCUAACGCCGUGCCAGCAGCCGCGGUAAUAAGGAGGAUCCGAGCGUUAUCCGGAUUUAUUGGGUUUAAAGGGUGCGUAGGCGGCCUGUUAAGUCAGCGGUGAAAGUCCGUGGCUUAACCAGAGAAUUGCAGUUGAAACUGGGGGGCUUGAGUGUGUUAGAGGCAGGCGGAAUGCGUGGUGUAGCAGUGAAAUGCUUAGAUAUCGCGCAGAACCCCGAUUGCGAAGGCAGCCUGCCGGGCCAUAACUGACGCUGAUGCACGAAAGCGUGGGGAUCAAACAGGAUUAGAUACCCUGGUAGUC